Molecule: long non-coding RNA, 667 nt
Organism: Lolium rigidum
Lineage: Eukaryota; Viridiplantae; Streptophyta; Magnoliopsida; Poales; Poaceae
Exons: 3
Source: RefSeq, a predicted model, not a curated record
UGGUUGAGUCAAGGAGUAAACCAUCGUAGGGGUUUGUACUGUUAUUAAGUCAUGAUGACACUUUAGCUUGCACGUUGUGGCUAACUAAAACCAUUUCGUGCUAUAACUUUGGGAUCUGCUUUGAGAUGUGACUAAUUAAAUCAACUGUAAAUAGAACCGAAACAUGCCAAUAAACAGUGGAUGUCAUGUUCUCCUCAGGGACUGGCAACGAAGAAUGCGCUCGGCGAAAGCUAGGUAUCUAGAUCAGGGUGAAUUUGCAAAAGUCAAAUAAAUCAGAGUGGUUUACACUGACUCUGUUUGGACGCCCAUUGGACCUUCCAAAGGUCGGACACCUAAUCCUUAGGAUUUUUGUAGGGAGCUCAUAGAUCCAAGAUCUUCCGAAUAAAAUGGGCUGUGUUAGCAAAAUAUGUUUCUCAUAGCGAUGCCCGAAAACCGGAAACACCCACUUAUAGUGUAGCUGUAAAUUUUACGUUCUGGUGUUGGUACUUCUUCUCGUGACAAUGACAACCCUUACAAGAGUUUAAUGCUGGACAUUAGUAGUUGCUCUGCCUGUAUUCGUUUGCUCAUGGUGAAUAUCUCUAUGGAUGUUGUGUGUUACUUUGUACACAUUGAAUUACUUACAUCGUUUGCUAGUCAAACUUGUUGGUAUGUGUAGUGUAGAUUCAUA